ACCAGACUCCUACGGGAGGCAGCAGUGGGGAAUAUUGGGCAAUGGGCGCAAGCCUGACCCAGCAACGCCGCGUGAAGGAAGAAGGCUUUCGGGUUGUAAACUUCUUUUAUGAGGGACGAAACAAAUGACGGUACCUCAUGAAUAAGCCACGGCUAACUACGUGCCAGCAGCCGCGGUAAUACGUAGGUGGCAAGCGUUAUCCGGAUUUACUGGGUGUAAAGGGCGUGUAGGCGGGACUGCAAGUCAGAUGUGAAAAUUAUGGGCUCAACCCAUAACCUGCAUUUGAAACUGUAGGUCUUGAGUGAUGGAGAGGCAGGCGGAAUUCCGUGUGUAGCGGUGAAAUGCGUAGAUAUACGGAGGAACACCAGUGGCGAAGGCGGCCUGCUGGACAUUAACUGACGCUGAGGCGCGAAAGCGUGGGGAGCAAACAGGAUUAGAUACCCCCGUAU
Molecule: ribosomal RNA, 449 nt
Filed under: uncultured bacterium
Lineage: Bacteria
Description: bacterial SSU rRNA
Rfam family: Bacterial small subunit ribosomal RNA
Source: RNAcentral